Molecule: long non-coding RNA, 273 nt
Filed under: Panax ginseng (ginseng)
Lineage: Eukaryota; Viridiplantae; Streptophyta; Magnoliopsida; Apiales; Araliaceae
Description: long non-coding RNA (PGIN_LNC001233)
Source: RNAcentral
UUUUCUGAGGCACAUGGAUCUACGUGAGCUCUUAAAUUGCUGGAAUUACGAACAUAUAAAUAUAAAUAGUUUGCAUGUGCAUGAUGUUUAGUUCUGUUUUGUGAUCUUAUGUUUUGUCGCAUGAGGACACGCAACGAUUUAAGUUUGGGGGUAUUUGAUGAAUGAGUAGUAUACCCAUAAAUUGGAUAUAUUUAGACUUAAAUUAUUUCAUUCUUAAAGUAUUUAGUAGCAUUUUUAUUGUGUUUAUAUCUUGUUUUGCAGAUUUGGAAGCUG